Panicum hallii is the source of this 5673-nucleotide long non-coding RNA. RefSeq lists it as uncharacterized. The transcript is spliced from 4 exons. NCBI's taxonomy places the organism in Eukaryota, Viridiplantae, Streptophyta, Magnoliopsida, Poales, Poaceae. The record is from RefSeq and is a predicted model, not a curated record.
UUUGGUGAAAGGUAAUUCGUUUAGCAUUUGCAAAAAUGUAACUUUCCAAAAUUAAUCUCUCGUAGAAUCAUUAUUCAUUAUCUUUAAUCUAAAGCCAGCUACUGACCGAUAAUGCAGUCAACAUCCAAAACUUUUCAUGUUUCACGGCAUCGUUUAUCCGCAGUUAAGGUUACAGAUGGCAGUACUUCUGAAGACACAUAGUUUUCAGAUAUCUGGAGCCGAUGUUUCUUUCAUCGUCAAAUAGCAGCGGUCAUCCUCUAUUCAUCCUUGCAGUGAUGUCGAAGUUUGUGUUGAACAGCAAGCAAUCAUCUUGUCAGAUAAGUUUGAGCAAAAUUUUCCUGGGCAAAAUUUCAACAACAUUUUUAUGUCCUUAUCACCAUUCAAAGCUCAUUGUAUGGUUACAUCUUCAAGAACUGGAUAAGGAGAAGAGAAUGCCCUUGAAUGCCUAGGUGACAAUUUAUGCUUUGCAUAUCUAUACAAAGCUGUAGGAGAAAAGAUAAGUUCUGAGAAUUCAAGAACGAGAAACUUGCUUCUGCAGGGUUCUGUAUUAUCCCUGUCCAUUGGGUCCUCAGGGACUGAAAAGGUCCUGCUAUCAUUGACCGGAUACUUGUCCCAAUCAGCGACCCUACGGUUUAUUGUCAUUACUUUGAGAUGGACCACAGGUAUACCAUUAUUGUAGACUUGUAAUGUAGUAGCUGAAGUGUCAAGCUCAUCCAUGACGAUGAUUUUAUUUUUUUCUAAAUAUAUUUCAACAUAAUCCUACGUAUCUAAAAAAGAGUGACAGGAGAAAAGUGAAGGAUAACAAGAAUGUUUCUUAUUCACCCAAUCCAUAUGGUUGGUAUGUUUAGUGACAAGUGGAGUUAUGGGCAGCGUUCAUGCAUGCUGUUAGGCUCUACCAUGUAGGUUCAGAUAUUGAAGAUUUUGCAAGCAUCAGUUCAUGAUUACACAGCUCAAGAAAGGUGUCUAUGCCUCCUUUCUUGUUUUCUUUAAACUGUGGUCCCUUAGGCCUCCACAGCACUUUCAUCCACCUAGCAAAUAUCUGUAUGUCUGAUCAUCUGAUGCCCUGCUUUGUGGAUGCUCCAUGUUCAUCAACAAUCAUAUGACAUGGUUACAUGGGCCUUUAGCACAUUUAAAGUACUCACGUAGCCAUGUGUGGUGUCUUCCAAGUAUAAAGACAUGGCUUCAUGUUACUGCAUUGUUCUUCGUCGACGCUGAAUUUCUUGUUUCCUACUGAUGAUGCCUUCAACCAGGGCGGAUCAUGAAGCAGUCUUUUUGCCGUGUCAGGCACUGUUGGACAUGCUCACAUAAGAAAUCAUUUGCUUAUAUUCACAUUGUGACAAUCUUCAGCUAGGAAUCCGGGACUGUGCAAUGGCGGCUGGACCGAUAAGAACGAAGGAGGAGAAGAAAUCCUAGUAGGAUGGAGCUAUCAGGAAGUAAUUGGAGUUAGGACUUUGGAUAAGGAAAUUGCGUGAGGCAAGCUGCUAGCAUGGCAUGGCAGGUACAGUUGCAUGAAGCAGCCUUAUCCAGGACGAACACUUUUCAUAUGUGUAUAUCCUUUGCCUACCCCGAACAUGGCAGGUACUCUUUGGGCAUGUGGGUGCAGCAUUAAAAAUUGUGGUAGUUGUUGAGUCCUGUGGAUAAGAGAGGUCUUAGGCGUUGAAAUUUGUCGUCAGUGCAGUCUAAAGCGGAUCAUAAUCUAUUGAUUAGAUCACUGAUCUUUCGUCAGUAUUGUAUUGAGUAUAUGGUGCUUGCUUUGUUAUACAUGAUGCAAGGUUCCUCUGCCUGGAUUAGGUGUUGGAGCUGCUCUGCCACUUGGAACCUGGAACUGCAUCCUUUUUCCUUGUCAGAGGAGGUGAGCAGAAAAGUGUGUAAGAGGAUAGUAGCAAGGGAGGAAGGGCUAAAUCUUGCACGUAGCAUUUUGGCAGGCCAAAUUUCUUGUCGUUUUGGAUGCUUGGGUAAAUGACAAGUGAUUUCGCCUCACUGAAUUAUAUGUGAUAUCAUAAAGCCUCAGACCCUUAUUAUGCUAGUUGGGUAUUAGUUCAAGAUGGCUUUUUUUUUUUUACUUUCACACUGUCAAAAAUAUGUUGCAGUGAAUUCUUUCGGUCCAUGUUGCUAUAGUUUUUAUGGAUAUGUUGGUGGCAAGCUGGAGUCCCUGUAAGUUGUGAUAAGGCUCGUCUGCACUUUCUCUUCUCUUCCUUUGGUUCCUGCAUUUUAUAUGAUAAUAUGGCAGGUACCAGUAGUGAAGCGUUCUGAACCUGAAUUCUUCCUGGCCAUAAGAUUCAGAGAUGCCAAACAGAUGAGAUUUGGAUUGGGUCACAGCGGUUGCAAGGAGCUUGAUUCGCAGCAAGUGUCAUCGAUGAAAAGCAUAUAGAACAGUAUUUCAUCAAAAUGGAUGGAUACAUUUUAUAGCUGCAUCUUGGUUACUACUUUUCACUGUCACUUUCCGAGUAUUUGUCAUCUUGCAGCAAGAAAGGACGGAAACAGAGAAACAUCAGAUAAAAGGGAGAAUCUGAAAUUUCCGUCUUCCCAGAUCCUAUUAUCUGUUUAUUACUGUUAGUCUAUUGUUGGCUGUAACUUUUAUUUCUUCAGUUAAGGUUGAUAUUUGACCUUUUCUGCCUUUCUUCAGUCUACUCGACUGUCCAUGUCCAGGCGCCUUGCACCAUGCAGUUGGUGGAUAUGAACAGAUGCAAAGAAAGGAACAUAUCCUUUUUGCCCAUUUACUUUCGUUUUGUGUUGAUUAGUUGCUUGAAAACUUUACAAGUGCUAUUCAGAUAGGUAAAGUUGAACAGUCAUUUGGGUGAACUUUUUGAAGAAUUAUGUUCUGAUGUAGUUCGAGGUCAAAACUUUACAGGGUUAUUCCCCAGUUACCAAGAUCAAUAUCUGACUUUUUAGGAUGACAAGAAGUGUAUGGUCCAAAGGAUGAUAUGAUUGGAUUGAAACUGUUGUCAAGACUCGACCACGGUUGUCCAGGUUAGUUAGCAUUUGGCAUAGCAAGAUGCCUCCACAUAAAUAAAGAAAGAGGAGCCAGAUCGAGAGUUGGUAUAGUGCUGUUGAGGGGUUGCUUUCAGCACUCUUAUUCUCUUUGUGAUUGCCACCAAGCCUGAAACUCCCUCUCAAUGCAAUUCAUACCAGUGCUACCGUUAUUUUUGUUUUCACAAUAUGCAUAUCAAGAUGAGUGAUGGUAUAGGCAUGAAUUGAUGCUUCUUGAUCAAGCAACAAACAUGGACUUUUGGUUGCCUAAUACAUGACCUCAUGCUGCCAAACAGCAUCUGUCGCUUCACUUGUCAAUCCAAAGAAGUUGAUAUGUCUCUCACAAUCUUAUCCAAUCAACUACCCAACCAAGAGCCUAUUCAGAGGAGUUAAAGUUAAGUGCCAAACUUCAGCACAUACUAGGACUCAUGCACGUGCUAAAGUUUUUGAGUCUUGGCUAAAGUUUAGCCUACCCUAUUAGCACUCCCGUUUGGAUAAGCUAGUACUAAAGUUUAGCACUUUCAUCCAUUAGCACUUGGAUCCAAAUAGAGCCUAAAUGAUAAACGGUACCUCAUUCAGCUACGGAAUCUGUUCAAAACAGCUGAGGAACAUGCAUGAUAGGAACAUGAGUGAAUGCCAACUUGGAAAAAAGGGUUUUUGUUUGAAAUGUCUACAUCAAGGGAAUGCUUUUAAAUUCUAAGUCAUGUAUCUGUACGGCUGUACCUUGUUAAUCUGUUAACGCCCCAGGGCUAGGAACAUGCAUGAUAGAAAAAAGUAUACACACAUCAUACCAUCAGCAUGAAAAGGAAACUUCUUUAUGUGGUCCCAUGCCCUUCCCUGAACAUAAUGCUUGUGUAUCAAGCGUGCCUUUUGCUACUCUCAGCUGCCAGUUCAUCUUUUCCUUCAUAUCUCAAGCAUAAUUUCAGGUCCCUUCCUCUCUUGAACAGCAAACCUUCGUAUCUUUUCUUCUUCUUCUUUUUUACAAUGGCAUUCCUUCAUAUCUUGAGCCUGAUUUCCUCUAGAUCAUGUAGACGCAUUAACUUCAAAAAAAAUAGUCACAUUAGAGAAACAUGAGAAUUCUUGUGAACUGAACACUAUCGAUUAGAUCUAACCACAGUACCAAAUUGCUUAGACAUGUAUAUGCAGGUGAUGAGCGAUGAGUUGGAGUUGUUGGCGUAGGCGUGUGCGGCCAAACUGAGGGAUCUCACGGUAGUCAAUUGCUGUGCUGGUAUUGUCUGUCUUUGGGUCCUAGGCCAGUUUCCAAACAUGGCGGGCACGGCGGAACCCCACAUGGAACCAGCUGCACAUGAAAGAACUGUUCAGACAUCAGAGAUGCAGGAAGGGAAGGCAAGGGAAGAUCUUUAUGGGUCAUGCGCAUGGUUUUUCUUCCAAAUAUUGGAUACAGUUUCUAUACAGCAUGUGCAUGCUGUGCUGUACUUCCCUUGAGCAUUUCACAUUUUGGAGGCGAUGUUUAUCUUCUUUCUUUCCCGGGAAGUGUUUCUAAUUCCAACUUUGAUCCAAUCUUGAUUUGGCAUGUGCUGUGAGUCGAUUGAGCAUUACUUAUUUUUGAAUAUAAUGUUCUUUUAUAUCCACAUACACAGCAGUUGAUCCAAUCUUGAUGCUGCACAUGGUAUAUCUCUUAUGUAUUUCUCGUUGUGCCAGUAAUCAUUUUUAUGUACACACGAAUGUACAUUCCAUCCUGACGUUUUCAGAAAUUUACCAUUUUGCAGGUAAUUGCUUCUACUGCACACGGAUGUUUGUUGCCACAGUGGCCACAUCUUUGAAGUACUUCUCAAUCUCAGGCAACAAUUUCUGUUUCAUACUUUCGUCUCUUCCACUGGAUUGGAAAGCAAUGUCUCAUACAGCGAGGCCAGGACCUUUGCUUGCUUCAGCAAUGCUACUCUGUUCUGUAGUCAUGAGUUCAAGACUCAUGAGCACGGCAUGUUUCUAUACUCCAAAUAUUGUUAGCUCCUUCACAGGAUACCCAAAGACAUGACCAUGAUAUCUAAAUAGUCAGCGUUGGUUCCUGUUAACGAGAAGGCUUCAUUUAUACUUUUGCUUCUGAUGCAGAUCCGAUCGUAUAUCGGUUGGAUGAGUUCUGUUUAAGAAGCAUAUGAUGACUAACCCAAGUUGAGGACCGUAGUGUCAUGAUCCACUGCCUCUAAUGAAGCUGCCUUUCUGUCUCAUAUUUUGUUUUCUGGUACUAGUCCAGUUUGUUUCAGUGGCACGCUGAUGAUGUUGCUAAUGAUGCAACCCUGUGUUGCUGCUGGGAGUGAUGAUCUAUCGGAAGCUUUUGGUUGGUGAGAGAUCUCGCUCAGGUGGUGGCGAUCAUAGAAUCCAAGCUUUUUGUGUGUCGCCGAUGGAAAAAGCGAGAUGGGUAAUGGGUUCCAGGACAACCGGUGGCGCGACCGCCACCGCCACGCCGUAUCUUGUUAUCAUUCACUGACGUGAUGCUUGCAACGGAAAGGCAGCAAGAAGAACAGCCUUAACGACUGAUCCGGUGGUGCCGGCUAAUCAGGUUUAGUCACCACAAACUUACAACCUUGGAAUUAGUUGGAGCAUCCAUCCUUUCUGACUGAUGGCUACGUAUUGUUGUCGCUGCCGCGUGUGAGCACCUCGCAUGGCAUCAGUGUGUCUGUAUGCGUGUUGAAAACAAUACUAGGUCAAAAAUUAAGUGUGGCACGCUAACACUUAAUUCGGAAA